This 492-nucleotide ribosomal RNA is filed under the name uncultured bacterium. RNAcentral's name for it is "partial 16S ribosomal RNA". It matches the Rfam family "Bacterial small subunit ribosomal RNA", at positions 29 to 507 of the family's 1533-position model. The record is from RNAcentral.
AGUGAACGCUGGCGGUAGGCCUAACACAUGCAAGUCGAACGGCAGCACAGUAAGAGCUUGCUCUUACGGGUGGCGAGUGGCGGACGGGUGAGGAAUACAUCGGAAUCUACUUUUUCGUGGGGGAUAACGUAGGGAAACUUACGCUAAUACCGCAUACGACCUACGGGUGAAAGCAGGGGAUCUUCGGACCUUGCGCGAUUGUAUGAGCCGAUGUCGGAUUAGCUAGUUGGCGGGGUAAAGGCCCACCAAGGCGACGAUCCGUAGCUGGUCUGAGAGGAUGAUCAGCCACACGGGAACUGAGACACGGUCCAGACUCCGGCGGGAGGCAGCAGUGGGGAAUAUUGGACAAUGGGCGCAAGCCUGAUCCAGCCAUACCGCGUGGGUGAAGAAGGCCUUCGGGUUGUAAAGCCCUUUUGUUGGGAAAGAAAAGCAGCAGGUUAAUACCCCGCUGUUCUGACGGUACCCAAAGAAUAAGCACCGGCUAACUUCGUG